Molecule: ribosomal RNA, 466 nt
Filed under: uncultured bacterium
Lineage: Bacteria
Description: partial 16S ribosomal RNA
Rfam family: Bacterial small subunit ribosomal RNA
Source: RNAcentral
GACGAACGCUGGCGGCGUGCUUAACACAUGCAAGUCGAACGGAAAGGCCCUGCUUUUGUGGGGUGCUCGAGUGGCGAACGGGUGAGUAACACGUGAGUAACCUGCCCUUGACUUUGGGAUAACUUCAGGAAACUGGGGCUAAUACCGGAUAGGAGCUCCUGCUGCAUGGUGGGGGUUGGAAAGUUUCGGCGGUUGGGGAUGGACUCGCGGCUUAUCAGCUUGUUGGUGGGGUAGUGGCUUACCAAGGCUUUGACGGGUAGCCGGCCUGAGAGGGUGACCGGCCACAGUGGGACUGAGAUCCGGCCGAGACUCCUACGGGGGGCAGGAGUGGGAAAUAUUGCACAGGGGGCGGAAGCCUGAUGCAGCACCGCCGCGUGCGGGAUGGCGGCCUUCGGGUUGAAAACCGCUUUCGCCUGUGACGAAGGGUGAGUGAGGGUAAGGGGUAAAGAAGCACCGGCUAACUACG